Molecule: ribosomal RNA, 497 nt
Filed under: uncultured bacterium
Lineage: Bacteria
Description: partial 16S ribosomal RNA
Rfam family: Bacterial small subunit ribosomal RNA
Source: RNAcentral
GAUGAACGCUGGCGGCGUGCCUAAUACAUGCAAGUCGAGCGAACAGGCGAGGAGCUUGCUCCUCUGACGUUAGCGGCGGACGGGUGAGUAACACGUGGAUAACCUACCUAUAAGACUGGGAUAACUUCGGGAAACCGGAGCUAAUACCGGAUAAUAUAUUGAACCGCAUGGUUCAAUAGUGAAAGACGGUUUUGCUGUCACUUAUAGAUGGAUCCGCGCCGCAUUAGCUAGUUGGUAAGGUAACGGCUUACCAAGGCAACGAUGCGUAGCCGACCUGAGAGGGUGAUCGGCCACACUGGAACUGAGACACGGUCCAGACUCCUACGGGAGGCAGCAGUAGGGAAUCUUCCGCAAUGGGCGAAAGCCUGACGGAGCAACGCCGCGUGAGUGAUGAAGGCCUUCGGAUCGUAAAACUCUGUUAUUAGGGAAGAACAAAUGUGUAAGUAACUAUGCACGUCUUGACGGUACCUAAUCAGAAAGCCACGGCUAACUACGUG